UACAGAGGUCUCAAGCGUUGUUCGGAUUCAUUGGGCGUAAAGGGUGUGUAGGUGGCGCGCUAAGUCGGGUGUGAAAUUUCGGAGCUUAACUCCGAAACUGCAUUCGAUACUGUCGUGCUUGAGGACUGGAGAGGAGACUGGAAUUUACGGUGUAGCGGUGAAAUGCGUAGAUAUCGUAAGGAAGACCAGUGGCGAAGGCGGGUCUCUGGACAGUUCCUGACGCUGAGGCACGAAGGUCAGGGGAGCAAACGGG
Molecule: ribosomal RNA, 253 nt
Filed under: uncultured bacterium
Lineage: Bacteria
Description: partial 16S ribosomal RNA
Rfam family: Bacterial small subunit ribosomal RNA
Source: RNAcentral